ACAUCUCACUUGUAUCCCACUGUGUGUUCCCAGCACUGGUUUCCCACCGUGUGUUAGUGCAAUAGGUUACACAGUGCAAUAGAGAACACAGGUGUCUGCUGCUUGAUGCAACUCGUAUCUUCCAGUAGAGUCCUUGCAGUGCUCUCAGUGUGACCAGGAUGUCAAUGUCCAAGCCUGGUGGCAUCUGGGCUUCCCUGCCCUGGGCAGGUGGAGUGGGCUGCAGGAGCCCUGCCAGGUCUCUGCUGCAUCCCUGCAGGUGCUGGAGCUCUUGCAUCUACCCAGCUUUAUUACAGCAUUAUGGUGGAUUUGACAAUUUUUCAGAUGAGGCCACCUCUGAAGUGCUGUGGGAUAAGUUGAUCUACGGGCAGCUUGCAACCAGGCCGCUACAGCUGCAGCAACACAUGCUCAGAUUUGGAUGUGACCAGAAUUUUCUGCCACAAACUGCAUGAGGUCCUGCGUUUUCCCAGAAGCCAUGCAGACUUUUGUUUUCUGGUGUUGGGCUAGAAUCUUCUCAUCCAGUUCAUAAAUGACUGCUUGCAAUUUCAUGCUCACUCUCUGUCCUAAGUACCCACGCAUUGCACCCCACGUGUUGGUGCUUGUGUGCAGCAUACAAAACCUGCUCUCUGGCUGUGCAAUUUCUCCUGGUUGAGGAAGAGGAGAGGCUUGUCCCAACAGAUCCAUCAUCUGCUUCCUGAAUUGCUCUGCAAGGAACCGGCUUUCCUUCCAAGCUCAAAGCAAUGAUUCACCGUCAGCACACGGUCCAGCAGCAGCUGGUAUGCAUGUAACUGAGGCUCUCUUACUAUCAGGAUGCACGUUCUCUCUCUUGUCUUAGGGAGAUCUCAACUGAACCGACUCCUCACCUAAUGCUUCAGCAAUGCCUAACGUGGGAGUGACUAGGCACACCCAAUUGCAACUGCCCCCAUUUCAAACAGCUGGCUUGCAGGGCAUCUAAGAAUUAGUUUUCACUUUGCAUUAGGUGUCUUCAGCCCGUUGAAGCAGAACCUUAACUUACUGUAUUCAACGGCUUUUGGACGAUCCCCUUUUGCUUUCUGCAGAAAAUUAAAAAGAAGGACAAAAUUUUGUUUUAAGGUCCCUGAUUUUGUUUUUCUGCCAAAGCAAAUGAAGGGUCUUUGUUAAAAUUGGUUUUCAGCUGCUCUCAGAGAAUACCCAAGCUAUUCAGGAGGAUUGUACAGCUGAAAUUAUCUGCGACUUUUAGGUUGUGUAUGGAUCAUUUGCCUUGGGAAAGUCCACUAUGAAAUAACAGCCUGCUUUGAUGGGGUUAUCAUUAUCAGAGCAGAGGUGCCCUGUUUCUGCUAUGAAAUCUUCAGGUGAGUGAGAAGCAAACAUCUCAUAAUGCCAUCUGAGGGUGAAUCUCCAACAAAUCUCAGUCUCCCCGCUUAGCAUUUCAGUGUGAAGGUCACCCUCAGGCAGCUUUCCCAUAGGCCACCAUGAGGUCUCCCCAGAGCCUUACCCUCUCCAGGCAGAACACCCUCAGCUCCCUCAGCCUUUAGAGCAGAGGUGCUCAUCCCCAUGGCCUCCUCAGGACCUGCACCUAUAAUGUAACAGGCAGUGAUGGGAGAGUGAGGGGAUGCUCUGGUCCUGGAGUCGUUGGGUUGGCCAUGGGGUGACCACCACACCUGCUCUGGUGGGGAAGCUGCCCUGCUGCCAUCCCCUCUGAGUGCCCCUGCCCUGGCAAAUGUGGCCCCAGGGGCUCCUGGGGACACAUAGCAACAAAUCCUAGGCUCUGUGGUGGCACUGUGAGCUGAGGGCUGAUGAUGUCAUGGCUACUCUCACUUCCAGGGCUGGGUCCACAUAGGCCACGCUGCUCUGCUCCAUUUUUGCCUUGGGUCCCAUAGCUUCAUCCCCACCAUCCUGCAGGUGGGUGGCAGACCCUGUAGCAGGAAGGCAGGCCUCCGGGCUGCUCCUUAACAGAGGCAAUCACAUUUUCACUCUUGGAUGACAGUGUUUCACUGUGCAGCUCCAGUGCUGUCAUUACAUUUUGCUGAGUGCUGUCUUUAUGCUGCUCUCCCGAGUUACUGCCCAAACAGCCCUCGGCCAUAUACAUCAUCUCCCCAUCUUAUUACACGGUUAUCAUCUUGUUGGAUAUAAAUAUGCUUUUCCAGAGCCUGCUACGGUUCCACCAAGAAAUGAAUGCAUUUACAAAAUAAAAUACUUUGCAGGCUGGUAUGGCUGGCAGUACUUUUCCACACUCCUAUAAUUAGAUGGGUCCUAACCAAACUACGUGUAGGAGUCUGGCUAGGACUGCAAAUAAUAGAUUCAGUCUCUAGAUACCCUUCUGCUAACUGGGCACGGAGUAUUUUUGCUGCUUAGAGCGAUUAGUGGUUCUUGGUGCACGCCCAGAGCUCUUCCACGCCAGCCCACCUCCUGCUCAGUGUUUGCCCUCUGCAUUGCCUUUAUUAAUUGUCUGACCUCAGAGUAAGUUUCUGGAGAAACAGUAGAAGUCUGAGUAUAAUCAGCCUAAAGCUGCCUAGCGGGGCAUCUCACUGCUAAUAUUUGACUAUGUGGGCAAUUAUGUGCUCUGAAUCUCUCAGCAGAAGGAUGCCGCUGCUCCUUUAUUCUACCGCCUUUGCGGCUGAUGGCAAUGUCCAAAUGCAAGGCAGAAAAGCAUCUUUCAUAGUCUGGACGCAGGUAACUGCAGUGAAAUUGUAUCCCACAAAGCAGCCUGGCCAAAAGCUUUCCAGAAGAGUGCAAACAUUCUGAUUUUUCUGGAGAAGCAAGGCCAGCCCUUGCAGUUGUUCCGUGGGAUAUACCCGGCAGACCAACAUCACUCUGACCUUGGCAGCUCUCCCCAACUCUUAUUUUCCAUGUUGAAGAAUCUUUGAAAUGCCACUUGUGUCCUGGACACCAUCACUACUCUUGCCUUUCGUGCAUUUCUCUUGGAUGCAUGGCCUUGGGCCAGCAGACUGUACUGCAGGGGACGGAGGAGGCUGGAAGUGGUAUCAGUGCUGUGAGUGCUUGGUCCUGAGGGGAUGGUGGCUCAGAGUGCUGGAUUGGUGAUAUAUCUGAUAAAAAGCCCCAUCUGCUCCAUUCUUAUUACUGGCCACACAAAGCUGUUGGAUUAUUGCACAUUACAGCCUCCCAGUAGCUGGAGGUUUUACAGCCUGCAUUUUACCCUUGGUAGUUCAGCUUAUGGUGGAGAACUGGAUGUGAGCAGCAGCCCUGGUUUUAUGGUUGAAGGCAGUGAAGUCACACUGAGCACCUGACAGCGGGGCAAGAGACUGCAGUUACAGACAGCGGUGCUAUCAGGGGCAGCAAAGUUGGCCGACUCACUGGAGAAACAUAUUUGACUUUCAAAGUACUGAGUGUUAGCACUGGAAACCAUAAACUUUACUGCUUUGAUUUGGAAAUGACUGCAUUGAAUGUCCAGUUCACCCAGUCCUAGGGGCUUGAGUUUUAUCGCAUGCGGGUGAUAAAAGACUGUCAAUGUUAUUCUUCUGUUAAAUACUUAUAGGAAUUCCUUCAUGCAGUACUUUGCAGUUCUCCAUGCCCUCUUCUAAACCCUGUCCUGAGAAGGGGGGAUAUUUGCCAUCUCACAAAUAGGUAAUGAGGGAAGGGAGAUGCUGACUUGCCUAACGUAAGACAUGAAGUCUGCUCUGGAGUGAGGAGCCUUGGCUCUGGUUUCUAGCCUUGGGCCUCUGCAUAGUGUUUCCUUGUUCUCCCAGUGCCUGAAAGAGGCUGUAUGUCUCAGUACAUGGAAAAAAAGAAAGAAGGAACGCUUUGGCCUGUCAAGUGCUAUUUGCUAUGCCCCAGCACUGGGUCGUGAACCUCCUUGUUCAGAGGCUGUCUGUGCUGCGUGUCUGUCUGUUGUCUACCACAGUGGGUAAUUAGACCCAGUCGGGAUAUUUCGGAUGAAAAUUAUGCAAAUAUAUUUGCUACUACUAAUCAAAACAGUUUAAAAAAUAGGCAAAGACCUCCCGCUGUCUAGAGCAGUUUUUCAUUUGAAGCUGAGGAUUUUCAGGAAAAAGUCCAA
Molecule: long non-coding RNA, 3991 nt
Organism: Gallus gallus (chicken)
Lineage: Eukaryota; Metazoa; Chordata; Aves; Galliformes; Phasianidae
Source: Ensembl